AACUUAGGAUAAUAAAAACCAAGAACCUUCAAAGUUCAAAAUAAGGGUGUAAACCC
RNAcentral lists this transfer RNA (56 nucleotides) under Anolis cristatellus. RNAcentral describes it as "partial tRNA-Trp". The record is from RNAcentral. Lineage: Eukaryota; Metazoa; Chordata; Lepidosauria; Squamata; Anolidae.